UACGUAGGUGGCAAGCGUUGUCCGGAUUUAUUGGGUUUAAAGGGUGCGUAGGCGGUCUUUUAGGUCAGUGCUGAAAUAUCCCGGCUUAACCGGGAGGGUGGCAUUGAUACUGAAGGACUUGAGUUCAGUCGAGGUAGGCGGAAUUGACGGUGUAGCGGUGAAAUGCUUAGAUAUCGUCAAGAACACCGAUAGUGUAGACAGCUUACUAGGCCGAAACUGACGCUGAGGCACGAAAGUGUGGGGAUCAAACAGG
This 253-nucleotide ribosomal RNA is filed under the name uncultured bacterium. RNAcentral's name for it is "partial 16S ribosomal RNA". It matches the Rfam family "Bacterial small subunit ribosomal RNA", at positions 524 to 776 of the family's 1533-position model. The record is from RNAcentral.